CCUACGGGGGGCAGCAGUCGAGAAUUAUUCACAAUGGGGGAAACCCUGAUGGUGCGACGCCGCGUGGGGGAAUGAAGGUCUUCGGAUUGUAAACCCCUGUCAUGUGGGAGCAAAUUAAAAAGAUAGUACCACAAGAGGAAGAGACGGCUAACUCUGUGCCAGCAGCCGCGGUAAUACAGAGGUCUCAAGCGGUGUUCGGAAUCACUGGGCGUAAGGCGUGCGUAGGCUGUUUGGUAAGUCGUGUGUGAAAGGCGCGGGCUCAACCCGCGGACGGCACAUGAUACUGGGAGACUAGAGUAAUGGAGGGGGAACCGGAAUUCGCGGUGUAGCAGUGAAAUGCGUAGAUAUCGAGAGGAACACUCGUGGCGAAGGCGGGUUCCUGGACAUUAACUGACGCUGAGGCACGAAGGCCAGGGGAGCGAAAGGGAUUAGAUACCCGUGUAGUC
Molecule: ribosomal RNA, 446 nt
Filed under: uncultured bacterium
Lineage: Bacteria
Description: partial 16S ribosomal RNA
Rfam family: Bacterial small subunit ribosomal RNA
Source: RNAcentral